Molecule: non-coding RNA, 18 nt
Filed under: Mus musculus (house mouse)
Lineage: Eukaryota; Metazoa; Chordata; Mammalia; Rodentia; Muridae
Source: RNAcentral
UGCUACUGAGUAGUUCUG